Molecule: long non-coding RNA, 391 nt
Organism: Drosophila gunungcola (fruit fly)
Lineage: Eukaryota; Metazoa; Arthropoda; Insecta; Diptera; Drosophilidae
Exons: 2
Source: RefSeq, a predicted model, not a curated record
CUCUUUUGAAUGAGCUCUCAGAUUAACAGUCCGAGUGUAACUUGCCUUUCUCAUCAAUUGCAAUAGCUUUAAGUUUGACUUCAGCCCGCUUUUUUAAUCAGAGCUUUGUUCAUGGGAAUUUCCAAAUGGGAGCGUUUCUACUGAUAAGAAAUAAGAAAGCAAAUUUAGUUCGUUUCCAAAUAUUUUUAAAGGUUGUCUUGAAGCGUGCACAACAUGAGAGUGUAUCUGCUUGUUUUUAUAUUAAUUUUAACUUUAUGGAAGACUUUUGUAGCAGGGGAUUGUUUGACGGAUCCCGUGACAAUGCUGUGCAUUUUGGACCCAGAUCAGGGCAAAUAAGCUUAUACCCAUGUAUAUGAAGAUGGUUCAAUAAAGCAAAAAAGUGGAUCAUGAA